This 429-nucleotide ribosomal RNA is filed under the name Bacteroidota bacterium. RNAcentral's name for it is "Bacteroidetes bacterium partial 16S ribosomal RNA". It matches the Rfam family "Bacterial small subunit ribosomal RNA", at positions 355 to 776 of the family's 1533-position model. The record is from RNAcentral. Lineage: Bacteria; Pseudomonadati; Bacteroidota.
UAGGGAAUCUUCCGCAAUGGACGCAAGUCUGACGGAGCAACGCCGCGUGAGUGAAGAAGGAUUUCGGUUCGUAAAACUCUGUUGUUAGAGAAGAACAGCGCAUAGAGUAACUGUUAUGCGUGUGACGGUAUCUAACCAGAAAGCCACGGCUAACUACGUGCCAGCAGCCGCGGUAAUACGUAGGUGGCAAGCGUUGUCCGGAUUUAUUGGGCGUAAAGCGAGCGCAGGCGGUCAAUUAAGUCUGAUGUGAAAGCCCCCGGCUCAACCGGGGAGGGUCAUUGGAAACUGUUUAACUUGAGUGCAGAAGGGGAGAGUGGAAUUCCAUGUGUAGCGGUGAAAUGCGUAGAUAUAUGGAGGAACACCGGUGGCGAAAGCGGCUCUCUGGUCUGUAACUGACGCUGAGGCUCGAAAGCGUGGGGAGCGAACAGG